RNAcentral lists this small RNA (490 nucleotides) under Rattus norvegicus (Norway rat). RNAcentral's name for it is "uncharacterized LOC108348809". Lineage: Eukaryota; Metazoa; Chordata; Mammalia; Rodentia; Muridae. The record is from RNAcentral.
GCCCUAGAACACUUAUAAUGCGGAAUUUGGCUGUUUGCAAAGGACCAAGGAAAUGCUCGGCCUAAGUCAACACUAGAAGAUGACAUUACCUUGAGUGCCACCAAACAGACACCGAAUUCUAAGGCGUUCCUUCGCAUGGCCACUUUUGAAGGGAUCAGGAGCAUCCUAAACACAGUCUGAGCUUUAAGGCCAUGUUGAAUCUGAGACUCUCAAUUCCGUAGACUCCAGGGACUUCCCUAAAGUCUUCAGACUCGGCUGCCUCAUCAUCUUGAAAGGGGGGUGAAGUGUGAACUCCAGGGAUGCCUCAAGGACUGAAGACAAAGCAUGGACGAGACUCCUGAGCUUUCCAGAUCCACUCACGGUUAGCCACUCCAUGGGACGUUAGUCGUGAACACAUUCAGUUAAGGUGAGAUGAGCUAUGAUGGCAGUUACCUAGCAAUGUAGGCUGGCAAUCUACAUCUCUUUUUUAGAUGAAAGUCUCUGAAUAUUA